CGUGUAGGUGGUUAGAUAAGUCAGAUGUGAAAGCUUCCGGCUUAACCGGAAAACUGCAUUUGAAACUGUUUAGCUUGAGUGCGAGAGAGGGUAGCGGAAUUCCCAGCGUAGCGGUGAAAUGCGUAGAUAUUGGGAAGAACACCAGUAGCGAAGGCGGCUACCUGGCUCGCAACUGACGCUAAUGCGCGAAAGCGUGGGGAGCAAACA
RNAcentral lists this ribosomal RNA (207 nucleotides) under uncultured bacterium. RNAcentral describes it as "partial 16S ribosomal RNA". It matches the Rfam family "Bacterial small subunit ribosomal RNA", at positions 568 to 774 of the family's 1533-position model. The record is from RNAcentral.